CAGUAGCCGCGGUAAAACGGAGGGUGCAAGCGUUAAUCGGAAUUACUGGGCGUAAAGCGUGCGCAGGCGGUUAUAUAAGACAGAUGUGAAAUCCCCGGGCUCAACCUGGGACCUGCAUUUGUGACUGUAUAGCUAGAGUACGGUAGAGGGGGAUGGAAUUCCGCGUGUAGCAGUGAAAUGCGUAGAUAUGCGGAGGAACACCAGUGGCGAAGGCGACUCUCUGGUCUGUAACUGACGCUGAGGUGCGAAAGCGUGGGGAGCAAACAGGAUUAGAUACCCGAGUAGUCCCUGUCUCUUAUAC
RNAcentral lists this ribosomal RNA (301 nucleotides) under uncultured bacterium. RNAcentral's name for it is "partial 16S ribosomal RNA". It matches the Rfam family "Bacterial small subunit ribosomal RNA", at positions 509 to 807 of the family's 1533-position model. The record is from RNAcentral.